UUCCUGUCGUGUAUUUGUAAGAAAGCAGUGAUAACAAAGAAAACAAUAAGAGGAAAUCACAUCAUCUAAAGAGAAAGAAACAUGUCAGGUAUUUGAGUACUACAGAAGGCAAAAUAAAUCAGAGUGCAAAAGGAAUGGUAGGAAUCAUAGACAAUAUUCUGGCUAGAAAAUAUAUGGAAAUGGAGAUGGGACAAAAUGCAGAAUGAAUUACUUUAAGGGCAGUGAAAUAAUUUUUAUGAAGAUUUGCUAUACUGGAUAAGAAUUAGACAUAAGACGGAGUCAGAAAUAGUGACAAAAGAAAGUGUAACAGAAAGCAAAAGGAACACUCUUGUGAAUAAAAACCAUGUUAGAAUACAGAACUAGGAAAAUAAAUGUAUGAAGUGAAUUACAUAUACAAUUAUGAAUUAUCAUAAAUAGACUUUAUAAUUUUCAUUCUAGAUCUGAUUUAGCAAGGUGUAGAUGCUUAA
Long non-coding RNA from Mytilus californianus (California mussel), 467 nucleotides. RefSeq lists it as uncharacterized. The record is from RefSeq and is a predicted model, not a curated record. The transcript is spliced from 3 exons. Lineage: Eukaryota; Metazoa; Mollusca; Bivalvia; Mytilida; Mytilidae.